Molecule: ribosomal RNA, 270 nt
Filed under: uncultured bacterium
Lineage: Bacteria
Description: partial 16S ribosomal RNA
Rfam family: Bacterial small subunit ribosomal RNA
Source: RNAcentral
AGUGAACGCUGGCGGCAUGCCUAACACAUGCAAGUCGAACGGUAACAGGCCCGCAAGGGUGCUGACGAGUGGCGGACGGGUGAGGAAUACAUCGGAAUUUGCCCAGUCGUGGGGGAUAACGUAGGGAAACUUACGCUAAUACCGCAUACGACCUUUUGGUGAAAGCGGGGGAUCAGCAAUGACCUCGCGCGGAUGGAUAAGCCGAUGUCGGAUUAGCUAGUUGGCGGGGUAAGAGCCCACCAAGGCGACGAUCCGUAGCUGGUCUGAGAG